RNAcentral lists this transfer RNA (75 nucleotides) under Campylobacterota bacterium. Its description in RNAcentral is "Epsilonproteobacteria bacterium (hydrothermal vent metagenome) tRNA-Thr". It matches the Rfam family "tRNA". Rfam says of the family: Transfer RNA (tRNA) molecules are approximately 80 nucleotides in length. Their secondary structure includes four short double-helical elements and three loops (D, anti-codon, and T loops). Further hydrogen bonds mediate the characteristic L-shaped molecular structure. tRNAs have two regions of fundamental functional importance: the anti-codon, which is responsible for specific mRNA codon recognition, and the 3' end, to which the tRNAs corresponding amino acid is attached (by aminoacyl-tRNA synthetases). tRNAs cope with the degeneracy of the genetic code in two manners: having more than one tRNA (with a specific anti-codon) for a particular amino acid; and 'wobble' base-pairing, i.e. permitting non-standard base-pairing at the 3rd anti-codon position. Lineage: Bacteria; Pseudomonadati; Campylobacterota. The record is from RNAcentral.
GCUCAUAUAGCUCAGAGGUAGAGCACUUCCUUGGUAAGGAAGAGGUCGAGGGUUCAAGUCCCUCUAUGAGCUCCA